AAAAAUGUUGAAUAUCAACAAUGGGUUUCAGUGCUGUAUUGUUGAGUUUUGUAUGAACUAAUCUAGCUUCUCUAAAAAAAAAAAAAAAAAAAAAAAAAAGAAAGAAAAGAAAGAAAGAAAAGAAAGAAAGAAAGAAAAAAAAAGAAAAGAAAAAAAAGAGAACCACAGCUUUGGACAAAAGUCUAUAGCCAGUGCAUUUGAAAACUCCCCUUGCACCAGGGCUGACUGUAGCUGGGGGAAGACAUUUUACUCAUUUGCUCUUUCCUUUCAUACAGUCAGCUGGUCCCUCUUCUCAGGUGUAGAUCACCUAUUAUAAUUUUACCUAAUUUUGAUACUCUGAUAAGGAAAGUCCCAGGACUUAUCAGCUGGGAUAGGCCUCACUUACAAGACAGCUCUGUUCAGUAUUUGGAAGAAAGCCUGACAGGUUUCUUCGGAAAAGUGGCCAUCCAUGGAAUGAAUGAAAUGUUCUCUUUCUAUUCCAGGGAUUGCAGUGGCAAAGCUAGGCUAGGUCUUGGAGGCUGGUGUAAGGCGAUGUGGGUGAAGGCAGGAGGCUGAUGGAAAGACUGGGGGGAAGAAAAGCCGAAAUGGAUUCACGGUGCCUUGGAUGAAGGACGAGAGGGGAACUGCAAGCUCCUUCAACUGGUUCUGUCCGGUGAGAAGUGAUCAAGCUUGGGCUGACAAGAGGCUCAGGGAGCCCUCACGUUCUUUCGCUUUUUUACCUGCCAAUCAAACUGCUACAAGACAACACCCUGAUCUGGCAUGGACAUCGCGGGUCCAAGCCUGUAGCCCCAAAUCGGAUAAUCUCUGCAGCUGAUAACAAGCAAAAGAGAAGCCAGGCAACAGCCAUAUUAAAGAAGAAAACAAUCAACUCUGAGAUCCAACUUAGAAAUAAUGUUUCAUUCAAGAUAAGGCUCGUGGCUUAGGAGAUUGUGACCUGGCUUGCAUCAUUCUAAGACUUCUAUCGUCUGUUUUCAAAACCCAAGGAGGACCUCCUUUUCUGUGUGAUAGUUCCUCAUGCUUUGCCAGCCACUGGGUCUUUAAGGAAGCUUGCCAAGAGUUCCCGGCUGGGAAGGACAGUUCGAGUUCAUCAUAGACAAUGAGCUGGCACCACAGUUUAAGUGACUCACCAACCUGGUUGCCCACUUCAAAAUGUCAAGAACCACACUAUCUAAUUGAAAGAACUGUGUUUUAGCAAAGUGUAAUUGGAUCGCCUGGCAAGAUCAUCUCAAACUAUGUCUCUGACCUUGCCUUUCAGUGGCUAUUUUGAGCACAAGAGGAGAAAGGAAAUGAUUCCUGAAUUAUAUCUUGUUUUUAAAAAUUAAGAUUAAUUAAUACUUGGUUUUAUGUUCAUUCCAUUGUAGGAACUUAGUGAUUAUUACAAAACAGUCAAAAUAGGUCAUAGCAAAAUGAACGUUUAAGAUUAGGUUAAAACAUUCCUCUGAAAUUUUAGUAUUCACUUUUGAAGUGUCAAUUACUAUAUUUCUGUAAUUUCUCAUUUUUUUCUUGGCUUAGAGUCAAGAUGAAAAAUGAUAUUUGAAUCAAAGACAUUGUUUUGUUAUAUAGCCACUCCUUUCUAAAAUGCAAAUCCACCCUCCCCUCACCAAUGCUUUAUUCUUUGUGCGCGCACACACACACACACACACACACACACACACACACACACACAGACAUACACAGAACCAGCACCCAAAUGGUAGAGGAGGUCCUUCCAAGACUUCUAGGACCUGGAUCAUGUAAGCAGUAGAUGAGAAAAUGAAGUAAGAGAUAUAGAGUAAUAACAAUAAAAGUCAAUGAUUUCAUUUUACAAAAAAGUCAUUGUGUAGUACUCAGAUAUUUUUAAGAGCAAGUAUUAUUAUGACUAAAGUAUAUUAUACUUCUAAAUUAUUAUGAUUCUCAUCUAAUUUCAAGCCACACAUAGGCGCCAUUUGAAAGCAUUUUGUGUUACAACCUAUCAACAAAAAUCAACUAAUAGUUUUAUAACGUGCAUAGGUUUACCCCAUGGGGAAUUAAAAUUUUUAUCUGCAAGUAUUUCUGUUGUUGUGAGACUUUAGGACAAGACAACAUUUGGUGUUAACAUAGAAGAAUAUUCUAUGGCUUUUUUAGCUUUAAAGUUCAUUACUCUAAAAUAAAGUACACGUGGUAUUUUUUUCUUCCUAGUGUUCUCUUAUUAUAUGUAGAGUAUUUUCGGUUGUUGUUUUUAACGUAUACAUUAUUUUUAUUAAGUCAUUUCAUAAAAGAUAAGAUAUAUACUAAUAGACCCUUGGUUUUCUCCUAAUUUAAUUAUUUCAAGUCAAGCAAAAUUGGGCAAUUUUCUUUCAGGAAAAAAAAAAUAUUGAGCAUGAUUUUGAGGUAAAACUGAUUAUUUACAGCAUCUUUUCUCUAAUAGGCUAACAUUUAUGAUGGAUCUUAUUUCAAAGUUGAUUAUUCUCAAAGAAAAGUGGAGAUAUUAGAAUUUCCGAGUAAAUUGCAUUGUUUUAAAAAGUACUUUAAUGCAUUGUUCACAUUGUUGCCAGCUAUUGACCAAAAAAGAGAAGAAGAAAAAAGAAAUAAAAAAAGCAGUAUCUGCUCCAAACGUCAAGUUUUGCAGUUUGAAAGACUUGUACAUUAUAAUUGUUUUUUUCUUUUUUGGAAAGCAGUAGUAAUUAAUACCAAAGGCAUAGACAAUUUAGGGCCAUAACCUCCCUUCCCCCCUCUCCACCUUUUUUUUUUUUUUUUUUUUUUUUUAACUUUAACCAUGAUAGGCAUCUCUGCAAGGUAGGUUUUAACAUAUUUUUUUCCUAAUUUUUUUCCCUCCAUUCAGUAAGAAGGAUAAGCUUUUAGAGUACCCAGUCACCGUGGUAACUGCCAAAAAAAUUCUCCUGAAGUUUGAAGAGGUCAGCUAGCAGGGUCAACAACCCUGGCCUCUCUCUGAGCUCGGUCUAGCAUGCCCCAGCCUGCGGUUGGAGUGUCAGGCCAGAUCUGACCCUGGGAGGUGGACCAUUCUGGCUCUGAUAUAAAUUUUUCGAGUCAGUUCAUGGCCUGGACUCUCCAGGUGGCCUCCAAAAUCGAUUUUGACCCCCUGACCCUGUCUCACGGAGGCAUAGCAUCCACCCUAAGUAAGGAUUUAGCCAGGAAUGACAGCUUUCCACUGAGUGUUAUUGGGGACAGUAUAAACAGUUUGGAAAGCAAGUAAGGAGGUGUGAGGGCUAGCAAUCAUUAAAAGCACAUUAAAAAACAAUUUUUAAAAAUCUUUAUUAGAGAAAGUUGUAAAUGCAUAUCUGUUACAGAAUUCCUGUGAUUUGUAGAGUUUUCUAGUCAGUUUUGAAUAUAAAUAGGUCACAUAUCUUUAUCUUUUUGCAUACUUUGUUACAAAUAUGCAAAUAAGAUAGGCAUACUUGCUACAAAAUAGGUACAGCAGGAAUGUAAUAUGUUCAGAAAAGGCAAACUGGUUAUUAAAACACAUUAACAGGUAAGGAGUUUCUAAUAUUUUAAAUACUAAAAUUUUACAUGUGUAUUUUGAAGUUUUUAAAAUGGAAAAAUAAAGAACCUUUAAAAA
This 3535-nucleotide long non-coding RNA is filed under the name Homo sapiens (human). RNAcentral's name for it is "SOX2 overlapping transcript (SOX2-OT)". The stretch from base 492 to 767 matches the Rfam family "SOX2 overlapping transcript exon 3". Lineage: Eukaryota; Metazoa; Chordata; Mammalia; Primates; Hominidae. The record is from RNAcentral.